This 1352-nucleotide ribosomal RNA is filed under the name metagenome. RNAcentral describes it as "bacterial LSU rRNA". It matches the Rfam family "Bacterial large subunit ribosomal RNA", at positions 1431 to 2911 of the family's 2925-position model. The record is from RNAcentral.
AAAUAUUCCUGGGCCAGGAGAUGGUGACGGAUCGCAGGUGUAGUUCCUCCUUAUCGGAUUGGAGGGGCUGCUGAGCGGUUCCUGGAAAUAGCCCUCCACAAGACCGUACCCUAAACCGACACAGGUGGACUGGUAGAGAAUACCAAGGCGCUUGAGAGAACCACAUUUAAGGAACUCGGCAAAAUACCUCCGUAAGUUCGCGAGAAGGAGGCCCGAUUGGUGCGCAAGCAUCGGUCGGGGGCACAAACCAGGGGGUGGCGACUGUUUACUAAAAACACAGGGCUCUGCGAAGCCGUAAGGCGACGUAUAGGGUCUGACGCCUGCCCGGUGCCGGAAGGUUAAAAGGAGAGGUGCAAGCCUUGAAUUGAAGCCCCGGUAAACGGCGGCCGUAACUAUAACGGUCCUAAGGUAGCGAAAUUCCUUGUCGGGUAAGUUCCGACCUGCACGAAUGGCGUAACGACUUCCCCGCUGUCUCAAAUGUGGACUCAGCGAAAUUGAACUGUCUGUGAAGAUGCAGACUUCCCGCGGUUAGACGGAAAGACCCCAUGCACCUUUACUAUAGCUUCGCACUGGCAUCAGGAUUGCGAUGUGCAGGAUAGGUGGUAGGCAUUGAAGCGGGGACGCCAGUUCCCGUGGAGCCAUCCUUGAGAUACCACCCUUCGCACUCUUGAUGUCUAACCGCGGCCCGUUAUCCGGGUCCGGGACCCUGCGUGGUGGGUAGUUUGACUGGGGCGGUCGCCUCCCAAAGAGUAACGGAGGCGCGCGAAGGUUGGCUCAGAGCGGUCGGAAAUCGCUCGUUGAGUGCAAUGGCAGAAGCCAGCCUGACUGCAAGACUGACAAGUCGAGCAGAGACGAAAGUCGGCCAUAGUGAUCCGGUGGUCCCGAGUGGAAGGGCCAUCGCUCAACGGAUAAAAGGUACGCUGGGGAUAACAGGCUGAUGAUGCCCAAGAGUCCAUAUCGACGGCAUCGUUUGGCACCUCGAUGUCGCCUCAUCUCAUCCUGGGGCUGGAGCAGGUCCCAAGGGUAUGGCUGUUCGCCAUUUAAAGAGGUACGUGAGCUGGGUUUAGAACGUCGUGAGACAGUUCGGUCCCUAUCUGCCGUGGGUGUAGGAUACUUGAGAGGAGUUGCCCCUAGUACGAGAGGACCGGGGUGAACGUUCCACUGGUGGACCAGUUGUCGUGCCAACGGCAGUGCUGGGUAGCUAUGAACGGACAGGAUAAACGCUGAAGGCAUCUAAGCGUGAAGCCCCCCUCAAAACAAGGUAUCCCUUGAGAGCCGUGGAAGACCACCACGUCGAUAGGCCGGAGAUGUAAGUGCAGCAAUGCAUUCAGUUGACCGGUACUAAUGGCUCC